GCAGGGACGAAGCGAAAGUGACGGUACCUGCAGAAGAAGCGCCGGCUAACUACGUGCCAGCAGCCGCGGUAAUACGUAGGGCGCAAGCGUUGUCCGGAAUUAUUGGGCGUAAAGAGCUCGUAGGCGGUUUGUCGCGUCUGCUGUGAAAACCCAGGGCUUAACCCUGGGCCUGCAGUGGGUACGGGCAGACUAGAGUGUGGUAGGGGAGACUGGAAUUCCUGGUGUAGCGGUGAAAUGCGCAGAUAUCAGGAGGAACACCGAUGGCGAAGGCAGGUCUCUGGGCCACUACUGACGCUGAGAAGCGAAAGCAUGGGGAGCGAACAGGAUUAGAUACCCUGGUAGUCCAUGCCGUAAACGUUGGGCGCUAGGUGUGGGACUCAUUCCACGAGUUCCGUGCCGCAGCUAACGCAUUAAGCGCCCCGCCUGGGGAGUACGGCCGCAAGGCUAAAACUCAAAGGAAUUGACGGGGGCCCGCACAAGCGGCGGAGCAUGCGGAUUAAUUCGAUGCAACGCGAAGAACCUUACCAAGGCUUGACAUAUACCGGAAACAUCUGGAGACAGGUGCCCCGCAAGGUCGGUAUACAGGUGGUGCAUGGUUGUCGUCAGCUCGUGUCGUGAGA
Molecule: ribosomal RNA, 620 nt
Filed under: uncultured Nostocoides sp.
Lineage: Bacteria; Bacillati; Actinomycetota; Actinomycetes; Micrococcales; Intrasporangiaceae
Description: bacterial SSU rRNA
Rfam family: Bacterial small subunit ribosomal RNA
Source: RNAcentral